RNAcentral lists this long non-coding RNA (1516 nucleotides) under Pandoravirus neocaledonia. RNAcentral describes it as "hypothetical ncRNA". The record is from RNAcentral.
CUCUGCCGGUGGCCAGCGUCGAGCAUCUUGACAUGGAUCGUGUCGAGCGCAUACACCAAAUAUUCGAGUGCGCUUCCAUCGCGACAAAGGUACGAGUCGACCCAGCGUCCGUCCCGCGUCAACAUUUGGCGAGCGGCGUCGCGUAUGGCGUCUAUGCGGUUGGUCGCCUCUGUGGGCCAUCGCAGACACAGCCACAAGAGGCAGCGCGACACGUCGCACGUGUCGUCGGGCGUGGACGCCAACUCAAAGAUGCGGGCCAAGGUCAUGGGGGCAGCGCCGGACGCGAGCGGGUCGUAGGCCGUGGGGCCACCCAAAAGCCACGACAGCAGCGCCUCGGGGUGGCUCGAACAGGGAAACCAAUCGUCAUCGUACGAACGCUUGAGCGCCCCAUAGAGGAGCGCUGCGGUCAGUUGGGAAAGUGCAUCGGCGGAUCUCUGGCGCGCACGCUCCAUGAGCCACCUGGCGGUUUUGGUCGAUCGCCGGCUGUAUACGGUCUCGACGGCCAGAUCAUCGGGCAAGUCGUAUAGGCCUGCGGCGUCGAGCGCAGCCAGGAGCGCGACAUUGUCAUGUUCUAUGAGCGACAAGAGAGCGCAUUCAAUGUCAUCGGCAUCUUCACGCGGCCAGAGUUUGGACCACGCGCGGUCGAUCCUACCAGAGAAAACGUCGACAGCAUGGCGCGCCACACUGUCCUCCAUAUCGACGGUCUCGAAAACCCUAAACUCGGGCAUGUGUCUGAGUAGACAAUCAAACACCUCUGCGCUGAUGCCUUUGAGCGCCCACAUGCAGACUGAUGUGCGCGCACGCGCAGACAUUGUCCCAAAGACGCGAUCGACCAUCCAUGGCUGUCCGGAUCGGGCUGCCGACGCGACCAAAGAACUUGCCGCGUUCACGCAUUCGGCUGGUGUCGCCCUCUCCUCAACGAUGCGUAGGCCGUGGUCGACGAUGUCGGGGUCGAGCGAGAGCAUCAUCACCUCGCACUGGUCGGUCGCCGGCACGCACGUAACCAUCUCUGCAAAGGCGCGCUCGUAGUCGCUCGUCAUGAGGGCACCGGUUUGUUCCGCAUCUUUUGCACGCGCGACAGGACGCAAAUGGUAACAUUCGGCGAGCGCAGAUGCUUCAACGAUGCGACCUCGCGCCCAUGGCAACGCGGUGUCGAUGCACCAUAUGCGCUUGCGGCCGAGACGGUGCAACGUGAAUCUUUGCCAACCGCGACCAGUGGGCGCCGCCCGAUCGAUCAAGUCGCGCCAUUGUCGGCACACGCGGCGCGCCAUGCACCGGUAGGCCGGGUCGAGCCCAACAUCCGGGUCGGCGAGUAUGAUGGCCCACAGUUCGCGGUCGACAUAGACGCCGUGUACCUCCAUCUGUUUUCUCGCGCGGCAACUGUUUUUUUCUCUACAAACGCAACCCGACUUGUGCGUGCCACAACGCACCGCAACGGUGUGGAGCGGCAGUGACACGCUGUUCCGGUCGCUCCUUGCCGCUAUGUUUUUGUUUGUGCUUGGCGUGCUUCACGAGG